GACAGAGGGUGCAAACGUUGUUCGGAAUUACUGGGCGUAAAGCGUGCGCAGGCGGUGAUGUAAGACAGAUGUGAAAUCCCCGGGCUCAACCUGGGAACUGCAUUUGUGACUGCAUCGCUGGAGUGCGGCAGAGGGGGAUGGAAUUCCGCGUGUAGCAGUGAAAUGCGUAGAUAUGCGGAGGAACACCGAUGGCGAAGGCAAUCCCCUGGGCCUGCACUGACGCUCAUGCACGAAAGCGUGGGGAGCAAACAGG
RNAcentral lists this ribosomal RNA (253 nucleotides) under uncultured bacterium. Its description in RNAcentral is "partial 16S ribosomal RNA". It matches the Rfam family "Bacterial small subunit ribosomal RNA", at positions 524 to 776 of the family's 1533-position model. The record is from RNAcentral.